GAUGAACGCUAGCGGUAGGCUUAACACAUGCAAGUCGAGGGGCAGCACGGAUAGCAAUAUUUGGUGGCGACCGGCGCACGGGUGAGUAACGCGUAUGCAACCUGCCUAUAACUGGAGAAUAGCCCUCGGAAACGGGGAUUAAUGUUCCAUAAUGUUCAGAGGCCGCAUGGUUUUUGGACUAAAGCUCCGGCGGUUAUAGAUGGGCAUGCGUGACAUUAGCUAGUUGGUGAGGUAACGGCUCACCAAGGCUACGAUGUCUAGGGGGUCUUAAAGGAUGAUCCCCCACACUGGUACUGAGACACGGACCAGACUCCUACGGGUGGCAG
RNAcentral lists this ribosomal RNA (326 nucleotides) under uncultured Bacteroidota bacterium. RNAcentral's name for it is "bacterial SSU rRNA". It matches the Rfam family "Bacterial small subunit ribosomal RNA", at positions 28 to 351 of the family's 1533-position model. Lineage: Bacteria; Pseudomonadati; Bacteroidota. The record is from RNAcentral.